AUACUCAACAAAAAAAAGAGUUUGAUCCUGGCUCAGAAUGAACGCUAGCGAUAUGCUUAACACAUGCAAGUCGAACGUUGCUUUCGUUGUUACGUGUUGCGAACUUACUCUAGAGUUCUCAACUGAUGACCAUAUUUCCGUCGUCGAGUUGAGCCUCUUUUGAUUUUUAGUUCUCAACCGUGAGAACCGUUGAAAACAAAGUGGCGAACGGGCGAGUAAUAUGUGGGAAUCUGCCAAACAGUUUGGGCCAAAUCCCGAAACGAAGAAGCUAAAAAAAGGCGCUGUUUGAUGAGCCCACAAAGCAUCAGGUAGUUGGUUAGGUAAAGGCUGACCAAGCCAACGACGCUUAGCGGGUCUGUUAGGACGAUCCGCCGCACUGGGACUGAGACACGGCCCAGACUCCCACGGGAGGCUGCAGUGGGGAAUCUUGGACAAUGGGCGAAAGCCUGAUCCAGCAAUAUGGCGUGAGUGAAGAAGGGCAAUGCAGCUUGUAAAGCUCUUUCGUCGAGUAUGCGAUUAUGACAAGACUCGAAGAAGAAGCCCCGGCUAACUCCGUGCCAGCAGCCGCGGUAAGACGGGGGGGGCAAGUGUUAUUCGGAAUGACUAGGCGUAAAGGGCACGUAGGCGGUGAAUCCAGUUGGAAGUGAAGGUCGCCAGCUCAACUGGCGGAAUGCUUUCAAAACCAAUUUACUAGAGUAAGGCAUAGAGGAAAGCGGAAUUUCGUGUGUAGCGAUAAAAUGCAAAAAUAUACGAAGGAACGCCAAAAGCGAAGGCAGCUUUCUGGUUCUUUAACCGACGCUAAAGUGCGAAAGCAUGGGGAGCAAACAGGAUUAGAUACCCUGGUAGUCCAUGCUGUAAACGAUGAGUGUUCGUUCUUGGUCUACUAUAUUAUCGCACUGACUUCUGUAGAAUAGGCUACUAAAUCUUAUUAGCUAAAAACAGAAGAUUAUGUUUGAAGACAUUAAAUACUCGAUUGUUUUCUCCAACAAUCGUGAAAAAUGAUGAUCAGGGGCUGAGCUAACGCGUUAAACACUCCGCCUGGGGAGUACGGUCGCAAGGCUGAAACUCAAAGGAAUUGACGGGGGCCUGCACAAGCGGUGGAGCAUGUGGUUUAAUUCGAUUCAACGCGCAAAACCUUACCAGCCCUUGACAUAUGAAUGUCUACUAAGUGUUGUCCUUAACGGGAUGGUACAAUUCAUACAGGUGUUGCAUGGCUGUCGUCAGCUCGUGUCUUGAGACGUUGGGUUAAGUCCUAUAACGAGCGCAACCCUCGUUUUGUGUUGCUAAGACAUGCUUUCUUGUGUUUGAUACCUUGAUACUUGUUGUAUGAAUAAAAUAGAAUAAUUUUUACAAAUAAAACGCCGUUCAUGUGGCUCAACACUGCGAAUUGACAUAUGAAUAGCUAAUUUCGAAGUGAUAUCUACGCUUAUUAUUUUAAAAAACCUUAUCUGAUAAUAUUGGAUACAACUUCGAAUUCAACAUGAGAACAUUUUUAAUAGCUAUUCAUAUGUCUUCUCAUGAAGAGACUCAUCGCCUAUAUUUAAUAAAAAACAAGCGUGGUUUUUUAAUAAGCUGAAGCCAUGUGCUGCACUCACAAAAAACUGCCAGUGAUAUACUGGAGGAAGGUGGGGAUGACGUCAAGUCCGCAUGGCCCUUAUGGGCUGGGCUACACACGUGCUACAAUGGCAAUUACAAUUGGAAGCAAUGCUGUAAGGCGGAGCGAAUCCAGAAAGAUUGCCGUCGUUCGGAUUGUUCUCUGCAACUCGAGAACAUGAAGUUGGAAUCGCUAGUAAUCGCGGAUCAGCAUGCCGCGGUGAAUAAGUACUCGGGCCCUGUACAAACUGCCCGUCAAACCAUGGGAAUUGGUUUCGCCCGAAGCAGCCGACCAAGGAUCACCCAUUACUCCGCGUUCGAUGAUUUCUGAAUCCAAAAAAGCGACAGAUUUCGGGGUGUUCCACGCCGUUGUUGAGUGUGGUCCACCAGAGGCAUUGGUGAUCUUAUGUGGGAGACCAAGGUUGGGCCAUUGACUGAGGUUAAGUCGUAACAAGGUAGCCGCAGGGGAACCUGUGGCUGGAUUGACUCC
This 2083-nucleotide non-coding RNA is filed under the name Pellia epiphylla. RNAcentral's name for it is "bacterial SSU rRNA". It matches the Rfam family "Bacterial small subunit ribosomal RNA". RNAcentral also lists the same sequence under 1 other name. Lineage: Eukaryota; Viridiplantae; Streptophyta; Jungermanniopsida; Pelliales; Pelliaceae. The record is from RNAcentral.